This 569-nucleotide ribosomal RNA is filed under the name uncultured Gammaproteobacteria bacterium. Its description in RNAcentral is "bacterial SSU rRNA". It matches the Rfam family "Bacterial small subunit ribosomal RNA", at positions 812 to 1381 of the family's 1533-position model. The record is from RNAcentral. Lineage: Bacteria; Pseudomonadati; Pseudomonadota; Gammaproteobacteria.
UCGAUUUGGAGUUUGUUGCCUAGAGUGAUGGGCUCCGAAGCUAACGCGAUAAAUCGACCGCCUGGGGAGUACGGCCGCAAGGUUAAAACUCAAAUGAAUUGACGGGGGCCCGCACAAGCGGUGGAGCAUGUGGUUUAAUUCGAUGCAACGCGAAGAACCUUACCUGGUCUUGACAUCCACAGAAUCUUGCAGAGAUGCGAGAGUGCCUUCGGGAACUGUGAGACAGGUGCUGCAUGGCUGUCGUCAGCUCGUGUUGUGAAAUGUUGGGUUAAGUCCCGCAACGAGCGCAACCCUUAUCCUUUGUUGCCAUCGGUUCGGCCGGGAACUCAAAGGAGACUGCCGUUGAUAAAGCGGAGGAAGGUGGGGACGACGUCAAGUCAUCAUGGCCCUUACGACCAGGGCUACACACGUGCUACAAUGGCGUAUACAAAGGGAGGCGACCUCGCGAGAGCAAGCGGACCUCAUAAAGUACGUCUAAGUCCGGAUUGGAGUCUGCAACUCGACUCCAUGAAGUCGGAAUCGCUAGUAAUCGUGAAUCAGAAUGUCACGGUGAAUACGUUCCCGGGCCU